UAAAACAUUUUACAGUUGUAGUAAAGGCGAUUGAAACAUCUUUUGGAGUAAUAUUUUUAGUACCGCAAGGGAACAGUGAAAUAAAAAUGAAAUAACUAUUAAGCACCUAAUAGUAGAGACCUUCCCUCGUACCUUUUGCAUCAUGAUUUAACUAGUUUAUCCAAGCAUAAUGUAUUAAAGUUUGCCUCCCCGAAACUAAGCGAGCUACUUCAAGGCAGUUCCAAGAACUAACCCGUCUCUGUAGCAAAAGAGUGGGAAGACCUUCAAGUAGAGGUGACAGACCUAACGAGCUUAGUGAUAGCUGGUUACUUGAGAAAAGGAUCUUAGUCCAACCCAACUCUUAUAAAAUACACCUAAAUAAAAACUAAAAUUUGGAGUAAUUCAAAUAAGGUACAGCCUAUUUGAAUCAGGAUACAACCUCAAUAAAUGGGUAAUUAAACUUUUAUGUAAUAAAGUAGGCCUAAGAGCAGCCAUCUUCAAAAAGCGUCAAAGCUUAUUCACAAAUCAACUUAAUCCCCCUAAUUUUUAAAAACCCUUAAUCUCUAUCAAGUAACUCUAUAAAAUUAUAGAACCUAUUAUGUUAAAACUAGUAACAAGAACAAGAACUUCUCUCUAAUGCAAGUGUAAAUCAGACUGGACAAACCACUGAUUCUUAACACUUUGAAGCCAGAGUAAUAACCUACCAAGAAAAUCUUACUUCACUUAAUGUUAACCUGACACAAGAGCAUUCUCAGACAGNUUAAAAGGAAUAGAAGGAACUUGGCAAAUAUUAACCUCGCCUGUUUACCAAAAACAUCGCCUCUUGAUAAUAUAUAAGAGGUCCAGCCUGCC
RNAcentral lists this ribosomal RNA (831 nucleotides) under Pithecopus hypochondrialis (orange-legged leaf frog). RNAcentral's name for it is "partial large subunit ribosomal RNA". It matches the Rfam family "Bacterial large subunit ribosomal RNA", at positions 216 to 1863 of the family's 2925-position model. Lineage: Eukaryota; Metazoa; Chordata; Amphibia; Anura; Hylidae. The record is from RNAcentral.